This 499-nucleotide ribosomal RNA is filed under the name uncultured bacterium. RNAcentral's name for it is "bacterial SSU rRNA". It matches the Rfam family "Bacterial small subunit ribosomal RNA", at positions 24 to 518 of the family's 1533-position model. The record is from RNAcentral.
UCAGGAUGAACGCUGGCGGCGUGCUUAAUACAUGCAAGUCGAACGAAGUUAUCUCGCUGAGGCGAGCUUGCUCAAUUCUUGAGAUAACUUAGUGGCGGACGGGUGAGUAACGCGUGGGUAACCUGCCUUACACAGGGGGAUAACAGUUAGAAAUGACUGCUAAUACCGCAUAAGCGCACAGUAUCGCAUGAUACAGUGUGAAAAAACUCCGGUGGUGUAAGAUGGACCCGCGUCUGAUUAGCUAGUUGGUGAGGUAACGGCCCCACCAAGGCGACGAUCAGUAGUCGGCCUGAGAGGGUGAACGGCCACAUUGGGACUGAGACACGGCCCAAACUCCUACGGGAGGCAGCAGUAGGGAAUAUUGGACAAUGGGGGAAACCCUGAAUCCAGCGACGCCGCGUGAGUGAAGAAGUAUUUCGGUACGUAAAGCUCUAUCAGCAGGGAAGAAAAUGACGGUACCUGACUAAGAAGCACCGGCUAAAUACGUGCCAGCCGCGGC